RNAcentral lists this ribosomal RNA (467 nucleotides) under uncultured bacterium. RNAcentral's name for it is "partial 16S ribosomal RNA". It matches the Rfam family "Bacterial small subunit ribosomal RNA", at positions 29 to 507 of the family's 1533-position model. The record is from RNAcentral.
ACGAACGCUGGCGGCGUGCUUAACACAUGCAAGUCGAACGGAAAGGCCCUGCUUUUGUGGGGUGCUCGAGUGGCGAACGGGUGAGUAACACGUGAGUAACCUGCCCUUGACUUUGGGAUAACUUCACGAAACUGGGGCUAAUACCGGAUAGGAGCUCCUGCUGCAUGGUGGGGGUUGGAAAGUUUCGGCGGUUGGGGAUGGACUCGCGGCUUAUCAGCUUGUUGGUGGGGUAGUGGCUUACCAAGGCUUUGACGGGUAGCCGGCCUGAGAGGGUGACCGGCCACAUUGGGACUGAGAUACGGCCCAGACUCCUACGGGAGGCAGCAGUGGGGAAUAUUGCACAAUGGGCGGAAGCCUGAUGCAGCAACGCCGCGUGCGGGAUGACGGCCUUCGGGUUGUAAACCGCUUUCGCCUGUGACGAAGCGUGAGUGACGGUAAUGGGUAAAGAAGCACCGGCUAACUACGUG